Molecule: long non-coding RNA, 442 nt
Organism: Brienomyrus brachyistius
Lineage: Eukaryota; Metazoa; Chordata; Actinopteri; Osteoglossiformes; Mormyridae
Exons: 3
Source: RefSeq, a predicted model, not a curated record
AGAGCAGCAGUCGUCCCACGCAAGAUAAAGCAGCCGUCACCGCCACACCACAACACACGGGACCCUGUAAUAAUAAAAUAAGUCUGUAUUACAUUUCACACACAGCUAAUUCAGCCUGUCAUGUUGUGCCCAUUGGAAUCAGCUUAUCUCUCCACUUCUUAAACUGUUUAACUCAGUCUCUUGAUCUGUGGAAUGUCUCCCAUAUUUGGAAUUUUUUUAAUAAUGGCAACAGCAGCACAUGGUUCUGCAGGCUCAGACAGCAACAUUAUAACACGCUAUGUAGCUCUGGGACGACCUGCGUUUAUACAGCUGAUAAAUGGAGCCAGUGGCUAUGAGAUAAUGCUCAAAAAGGAUGGAAAUAAUAUUUUCAUUUUUAAAAAGGACAAAACUAUUUUUCACGGAAAUUGGGAAUCUCAGUUUAAUUUUUAUACAAACGGCACCU